Molecule: ribosomal RNA, 420 nt
Filed under: uncultured prokaryote
Description: bacterial SSU rRNA
Rfam family: Bacterial small subunit ribosomal RNA
Source: RNAcentral
CCUACGGGUGGCUUCAGUGAGGGAUAUUGCACAAUGGAGGGAACUCUGAUGCAGCAAUGCCGCGUGAGUGAAGGAGGCCCUAUGGGUUGUAAAGCUCUGUGGAAGGGGACAAUAAUGAUGGUACCCUAUUAGAAAGCACCGGCUAACUACGUGCCAGCAGCCGCGGUAAUACGUAGGGUGCAAGCGUUGUUCGGAAUUACUGGGCGUAAAGGGGGAGUAGGCGGAAAGAAAAGUCAGAUGUGAAAGCCCUGUGCUUAACGCAGGAAGAGCAUUUGAAACUAUCUAACUAGAGUGUAUUAUGGGAGCGUGGAAUUCCUAGGGUAGCGGUGAAAUGCGUAGAUAUUAGGAGGAAGACACGUGGCGAAGGCGACGCUCUGGGGUAACACUGACGCUGAGGACCGAAAGCAUGGGGAGCAAACA